Paucibacter sp. KCTC 42545 is the source of this 122-nucleotide regulatory RNA element. It matches the Rfam family "SAH (S-adenosyl-L-homocysteine) riboswitch aptamer". The record is from Rfam. NCBI's taxonomy places the organism in Bacteria, Pseudomonadati, Pseudomonadota, Betaproteobacteria, Burkholderiales, Sphaerotilaceae.
CAUUCCGAGGAGCGUUGCAACCGCAUGCCAAACAUGCGGCCAGGCUCGGGAUCGAAUCUUGCACCGCCGUUUCCACCCGAAACAGCUGCUGUGCCGAUUCAUUGCAACCGCGCUCACCCGCU